RNAcentral lists this ribosomal RNA (662 nucleotides) under uncultured bacterium. RNAcentral describes it as "bacterial SSU rRNA". It matches the Rfam family "Bacterial small subunit ribosomal RNA", at positions 1 to 663 of the family's 1533-position model. The record is from RNAcentral.
GGCUUAGAGUUUGAUCAUGGCUCAGGAUGAACGCUGGCGGCGUGCCUAACACACGCAAGUCGAGCGAAGCACUUUACUUUGAGAUCUUCGGAAGGAUAAGUUUAGUGACUGAGCGGCGGACGGGUGAGUAACGCGUGGGUGACCUGCCUCAUACAAGGGGAUAACAGUUAGAAAUGACUGCUAAUACCGCGUAAGACCACAGCACCGCAUGGUGCAGGGGUAAAAACUCCGGUGGUAUGAGAUGGACCCGCGUCUGAUUAGCUAGUUGGUAAGGUAACGGCUUACCAAGGCAACGAUCAGUAGCCGACCUGAGAGGGUGACCGGCCACAUUGGGACUGAGACACGGCCCAAACUCCUACGGGAGGCAGCAGUGGGGAAUAUUGCACAAUGGGGGAAACCCUGAUGCAGCGACGCCGCGUGAGCGAAGAAGUAUUUCGGUAUGUAAAGCUCUAUCAGCAGGGAAGAAACUGACGGUACCUGACUAAGAAGCACCGGCUAAAUACGUGCCAGCAGCCGCGGUAAUACGUAUGGUGCAAGCGUUAUCCGGAUUUACUGGGUGUAAAGGGAGCGUAGACGGAUAGGCAAGUCUGGAGUGAAAGCCCGGGGCUCAACCCCGGGACUGCUUUGGAAACUGUUUAUCUAGAGUGCUGGAGAGGUAAGUG